AUUCCAGCUCCUAUAGCGUAUAUUUAAGUUGUUGCAGUUAAAAAGCUCGUAGUUGGAUUUUGGUUAAGAGGGCGCGGUCGGCCGUUUGGUCUGUACUGCGUUGUCUUGACUUCCUGAUGAGGACAUGCUCUUGGUUAACGCUGAGACAUGGAGUCAUCGUGGUUACUUUGAAAAAAUUAGAGUGUUCAAAGCGGGCUUACGCUUGAAUAUAUUAGCAUGGAAUGACACUAUAGGACUCCUGUCCUAUCUCGUUGGUCUCGGGAUGGGAGUAAUGAUUAAGAGGAACAGUUGGGGGCAUUCGUAUUUCAUUGUCAGAGGUGAAAUUCUUGGAUUUAUGAAAGACGAACUUCUGCGAAAGCAUUUGCCAAGGAUGUUUUCAUUA
RNAcentral lists this ribosomal RNA (382 nucleotides) under Bathycoccus sp. RNAcentral describes it as "partial small subunit ribosomal RNA". It matches the Rfam family "Eukaryotic small subunit ribosomal RNA", at positions 582 to 975 of the family's 1831-position model. Lineage: Eukaryota; Viridiplantae; Chlorophyta; Mamiellophyceae; Mamiellales; Bathycoccaceae. The record is from RNAcentral.